CCCAUGAGGAGGUGUAGACACACACACUCAUUACAGGUGUCCAUCACACACAAGGUUCCCCACCCUUCACCCCAAUAUGGGGAAAAGUCAAAUGUUUGGUCAGUAAACAAAGAAGGCGUCUACUGAAUGACAGCAAACAGAGAUCUUGACAAUUGUGAGAAUAGGAAAAUUGCGGAACUUGUCGUCAUUAUACAAAGAAUUUUGUUUAUGGAAUGAAGCUUCCCGCUCAGGACAGGACUGGGGGUGGCACGUCUCUACAGCUUCACGUUUAUGAACAGAAUACCAGUACAAUGUAGACUGACACAGAUAGGAUAGUACAAAGGGAUGCUAUGACUGUAGAUGCUGGUAACAGUUUAUAGGUUUUUCAGAGCCUCGGGAAAGUUGGAUGACUCCCUCUCCUCCACACUGGCCAUGUAAAGCCAGCCAUUAUCCAGUAUCUGCUUAGAAGAAACUGGACAGGACAGAAGGAUAGACUAAAGGCUCCACUGGGGGUCCAGGAGCAGAGACCUCAAGGAUGUGUCAUGGUGCUAGGAGGAUCACACUGACAGCCCUGUGGCCCCUAUGGCCCUGCAACAGGAAGCUGAGCAAUAAACCUCAUAUCAAAUACAUAUAUUUCAUUGACAACAUAGUUCCAGGAGUCCAACCCAGAGAACCAGGUGUUAUGUGCCUUCAGAGGUCCACACCGGGGCGUCAGUGAAGUCUGUGCCUCUAGAGGUCUCCACCAGAUGUUAGCAGGGACUGUGCCUCCAGAGGUCCCCACCGGGCUUCAGUGAGGUCCGUGUAUCCAGAGAUCACCACAGGCAUCAGUGAGGUCUGUGGCUCCAGAGGUCCCCACUGGAUGUUAGCAAGGUCUAUGCGUCCAGGAGGUCCCCACCGGGCUUCAGUGAGGUCUGUGUAUCCAGAGAUCACCACAGGCAUCAGUGAGGUCUGUGGCUCCAGAGGUCCCCACUGGAUGUUAGCAAGGUCUAUGCGUCCAGGAGGUCCCCACCGGGCUUCAGUGAGGUCCGUGUAUCCAGAGAUCACCACAGGCAUCAGUGAGGUCUGUGCCUUCAGAGGCCCCCACUGGAUGUCAGCAAGGUCUAUGCGUCCAGAGGUCCCCACCAGGCUUCAGUGAGGUCCGUGUAUCCAGAGAUCACCACAGGCAU
Long non-coding RNA from Bufo bufo (common toad), 1145 nucleotides. RefSeq lists it as uncharacterized. The record is from RefSeq and is a predicted model, not a curated record. NCBI's taxonomy places the organism in Eukaryota, Metazoa, Chordata, Amphibia, Anura, Bufonidae. The transcript has 3 exons.